AAUAAAUCUUAGGGAAAACUUCAAAUACCCCUUAUAGUUUCACUCUUUCUCACUUUAGUAUCCCGUGGUUUAAAGUGUAUCAAAUUAGUACCCUGUGGUUUUGCACUUUUUCACUUUAGUACCCUGUGGUUUAAAUUGUGUCAAUUUAAUACCCUGUGGUUUCCCAUUUUCUCACUUUAGUAUCAUGUGGUUUCGUACUUUCUCGCUUUAGAACCCUGUGGUUUAAAAACCACAUGGUACUAACUUGAUACAAAAAAUAAAACCACAUGGUACUAACUUGAUACAAAAAUAAAACCACAGAGUACUAACUUGAUACACUUUAAACCACAGGAUAAUAAAGUGAGAAAGUGUGAAACCACAGGGUACUAACUUGAUACAUUUUAAACCACGUGGUACUAAAAUGAAAACGAGUGAA
This 415-nucleotide long non-coding RNA is filed under the name Ananas comosus (pineapple). Its description in RNAcentral is "long non-coding RNA (ACOM_LNC002405)". The record is from RNAcentral. Lineage: Eukaryota; Viridiplantae; Streptophyta; Magnoliopsida; Poales; Bromeliaceae.